UGGGGCGUAGCCAAGCGGUUAAGGCACCGGACUUUGACUCCGGCAUCGAUGGUUCGAGUCCAUCCGCCCCAGCCA
Molecule: transfer RNA, 75 nt
Filed under: Synergistaceae bacterium
Lineage: Bacteria; Thermotogati; Synergistota; Synergistia; Synergistales; Synergistaceae
Description: tRNA-Gln
Rfam family: tRNA
About the family: Transfer RNA (tRNA) molecules are approximately 80 nucleotides in length. Their secondary structure includes four short double-helical elements and three loops (D, anti-codon, and T loops). Further hydrogen bonds mediate the characteristic L-shaped molecular structure. tRNAs have two regions of fundamental functional importance: the anti-codon, which is responsible for specific mRNA codon recognition, and the 3' end, to which the tRNAs corresponding amino acid is attached (by aminoacyl-tRNA synthetases). tRNAs cope with the degeneracy of the genetic code in two manners: having more than one tRNA (with a specific anti-codon) for a particular amino acid; and 'wobble' base-pairing, i.e. permitting non-standard base-pairing at the 3rd anti-codon position.
Source: RNAcentral